UUGCUUCUUGCUGGACAGACUACCACCGGCUGGCUGGUUCACUCUAUAAGCCAUCCUUUGGAAACCAAGUGAUGGGAUAAGUAGCAGUAGGCAAUGGGUUUAUAGAAGAUGCUGCAGAGUAGCAGAGGUAUACCAGGCUAAUUUCUGGGAAUUGUCUCUUCCUUCCAUCUUGCUUUACAAGCACCAAGGCCAUGGAUGUAUGCCACCUCACCUAGUUUUCAUAGUUCGGGAGAGUCAAACUCAGGUUCUCAUGUUUGCAAGG
Cricetulus griseus (Chinese hamster) is the source of this 262-nucleotide non-coding RNA. The record is from RefSeq and is a predicted model, not a curated record. Lineage: Eukaryota; Metazoa; Chordata; Mammalia; Rodentia; Cricetidae.